GAAGACAGUAGAGAGGGCUGAAAAAUUGAAGGGCGCAGCUGGGGCUGCUUCUUCUGAAAAAUACAGAAACGCAACAUAGAUACGAUAGAGGCUGGAAAUUGAAGGGGCCCAGCUUUGCUAUUCUUCUGAACAAUACACACACAUAAUACAGAUUACAUUACACAAGCAUACACACGAUAGAGAAGAGAGAUACGCAGAGACGCCUGGGAAUGGGGGAAGGGCUGGCGGCUUGACUUCUUCACAAAAACACACACAAUACAGAACAUAGAGAUACAGAGAGAGACACCUGGAGCAAAAGGCUGCGCAGCCUUGCUUCUUGACAAAAGGCUCGAAGAUACACACACCUAUAUACACGAUACAAUACAAUAUUUAGGCCUGGAAAUUCGAACUGGACAAGAGCUUUUCUUCUCCAUGAGAGCUAUCAUCUAAAAAAUCCAGGGACCCUAUCUUCUUCACAAGAGUAGAAUUCACGAGAGAACCCUACGCUAGCUUCUGAACUCUCAAAAAAAGCCGUUGCGGCUGCUGUCUCCGGCGAGAACUCCAACCGUCCUUCUCCUUCAUCUUUUUUAAACAGAACCCUAGAGAAGCUAGAGAUCAGCGGCUAUUUCCUCAUCUUAAACCUAAGUGAAUGCCAAUAAAAGACCAGCGGUUCCCAGUCACCUCUCGCAAACACUGCAGCUACCAUAACUGGCCGGAUAUCCGGCAGAAAUUUUGAUCAUGAAACUGAGAUGGAUGUGACCUGAGUCGAUGUUUGACGUUGGUUCCAAUUUGAAUCCUGUUGCCAUUCGAGGUUGAAAGGCGCAAUGAUGUCUUUUUUGGUCUGUCGAGGUCGAGUCUCCGGUGAGUCGAGUUGUAAUCUUGCUGUUUAGACGCUGAGUCGAUGUUGAAAGGCCUGUAAUUCAAUCCCUAAGGAAACAUCCUUAAGCUUAACUGAUGGUUCGUUCAUUCUGUCCCUUAACACUCUGGUUCCCAAGACGCUGAGUCGAUGUUGAAAGGCCUGUAAUUCAAUCCCUAAGGAAACAUCCUUAAGCUUAACUGAUGGUUCGUUCAUUCUGUCCCUUAACUACUUCCUUCCCUAAUUACAUUUUGAUAUCAAUUCUCUGUUGCUUAGUUCUAUUUUGUUAUUUGAUUUGAUGUAUAAUACAUUCUCCAAUUUUGCAUAUUUGUUCCAUCUUCUUCACUGUUAUCGCCUUUCCACCCCUAUGUGGUAGUUUGGUGACUUACGAAGUUAUUCCACUGUUUUCCUUCAAAUUUUCC
Molecule: long non-coding RNA, 1257 nt
Filed under: Nicotiana benthamiana
Lineage: Eukaryota; Viridiplantae; Streptophyta; Magnoliopsida; Solanales; Solanaceae
Description: long non-coding RNA (NBEN_LNC042108)
Source: RNAcentral